Molecule: unclassified non-coding RNA, 217 nt
Filed under: uncultured fungus
Lineage: Eukaryota; Fungi
Description: sequence contains ITS1, 5.8S rRNA gene
Rfam family: 5.8S ribosomal RNA (bases 169-217)
Source: RNAcentral
UUUCCGUAGGUGAACCUGCGGAAGGAUCAUUACAGUUGGGGCCCCGCCCCGAUCAAGAUACCACCCCUUGCUUUUUGAGUACCUCUGUUUCCUCGGCGGGCUCGCCCGCCAACGGGGACCACAACAAACUCUUGUAGUUGCAGUAAGCGUCUGAAAACAAAUAAUCAAAACUUUCAACAACGGAUCUCUUGGUUCUGGCAUCGAUGAAGAACGCAGC